GAACAAGGAAAUCCCGAUGGUGAAAAUCCUUUGGAACCACCACAAUAUGGAGGAAUGCACUUGGGAGACACGGGAGUCUAUGCUCCAGCAAUAUCCCCAUCUCUUUUAAGGUUAGUCUCUAUGUGUUUUAUAUGUAUGUUAUGUUGUUUUGCUAUGCAUGUAUUAGUUGAGGAACAUUCGGGGACGAAUGUUCUUAAGGGGGGGAGAAUGUAAUACCCGGCUAGACUCCGGUAUCGGAAUUCCUACCGUCCGGUGGAAU
This 259-nucleotide long non-coding RNA is filed under the name Manihot esculenta (cassava). Its description in RNAcentral is "long non-coding RNA (MESC_LNC006102)". Lineage: Eukaryota; Viridiplantae; Streptophyta; Magnoliopsida; Malpighiales; Euphorbiaceae. The record is from RNAcentral.